CUGACUGUAGCUCAAUUUGGUAGAGCGCUGGCUUUGGGUGUCAGGGGUUCGGGGUUCAAAUCCCUGUAGUCAGACCA
RNAcentral lists this transfer RNA (77 nucleotides) under Mycobacteroides abscessus. Its description in RNAcentral is "tRNA-Pro". It matches the Rfam family "tRNA". From Rfam's summary of the family: Transfer RNA (tRNA) molecules are approximately 80 nucleotides in length. Their secondary structure includes four short double-helical elements and three loops (D, anti-codon, and T loops). Lineage: Bacteria; Bacillati; Actinomycetota; Actinomycetes; Mycobacteriales; Mycobacteriaceae. The record is from RNAcentral. RNAcentral also lists the same sequence under 3 other names.